AAGCUCGUAGUUGAAUUUCGGGGUUCUACCGUUGGUCGGGCAAUAGUCUGUACUGGCGUGUAGAAUUUCUACCUUUUGGGGAACCAUCAUGUUAUUUAUUUAGCGUGGUGGGAAACCAGAACCUUUACCUUGAAAAAAUUAGAGUGUUCAAAGCAGGCUUACGUCUGAAUACAUUAGCAUGGAAUAAUAAAAUAGGACGGUGGUCCUGUUUUGUUGGUUUCUGAAUCACCGUAAUGAUUAAUAGGGAUAGUUGGG
Molecule: ribosomal RNA, 255 nt
Filed under: uncultured Glomus
Lineage: Eukaryota; Fungi; Glomeromycota; Glomeromycetes; Glomerales; Glomeraceae
Description: partial 18S ribosomal RNA
Rfam family: Eukaryotic small subunit ribosomal RNA
Source: RNAcentral